Long non-coding RNA from Oryzias melastigma (Indian medaka), 1173 nucleotides. RefSeq lists it as uncharacterized. The record is from RefSeq and is a predicted model, not a curated record. The transcript has 3 exons. Lineage: Eukaryota; Metazoa; Chordata; Actinopteri; Beloniformes; Adrianichthyidae.
GUCAUUAGGUCACUUUUGGACAAACAAAAAAAAAAUGCAGUUUUCUAGGACAUAGUUUGAGCAAAGUGGUAGUAGUUUCUCAGAAAUUCCCUUCUGAGUUGUGAGCGGGACUGUUGGUUCAGAAAUAAGCCAGUGCUCAUUUCCCAUCAUUCAUUUUUCACACUCUCUCCUGCUAUCUUACACCUCCACAAUCCAAAGCAAACUUUAGCAGUGCAACAAAAAAGACAAACAACGUUGGAGUCAUCCAGCCGUACAGUUUUAAACCAGAUGCCAGCUCAGACGAGGAACACAAAGACGUACAUGAAUCUAUUGGUCUGCAUGUGGGUGCAUCAGAAUUGAGUGGAGGAGGGAGUUUUUGGCUUGCCUUUUUAUAGUUUGGAUGCUGCAUCUACAAACUUUUUCAAACUGCAUUUUUUGUCUGCUACUGAUUCAUAAUAUUUUGAAUACAGAAUUACUUAGAAAUGCAGUUUUAAUCUUAAUUUUAUUUUUAUAUUUCCUCCAUAAGAAAAAUACAACAAAACCAUGUUGAAGAAAUAAAACAUCACUUUUUAUUGAAACAGGUCCUUAAUAAGGUGAUGCUAUCAAACAAUAUUAGGGACAAAAAAAACAAAUAAAUUGGAAAAAAAAUCUCAGGGCAGAUAAACCUGGUCUCACACCUGGAGAGCUAUUUAGGAUAAUUGAGUUGGUUAUUAGGGACACAUGUUGGAUGUGUUUGUCAUGUUGCUGGAGGGUCUGACUGCAGCUGGGUUUUCCAGGGUUUGCCCCUCAGGGGGCAGAAGCUGAGAGGUACUGGACAAUGACCCGGGGGUGAAGUCCUCACACCUUGCUGUUGGAGAAACCUCUUCGCCUUGGUGGGGGUGGAGAUUUCCACUGGCACUGAUGUAAUUUUCUUCCGUCUAACAAGAGAAGACCCAGGGCUGAGAGGUUACAAACCAUUCCUCAGAAGAUCAAACUGCCCAAUGAACUGUGGAAAAAAGGAGAUUCAUUCUUGCACAACUGGAUUUCCAAGGUCAAGGUUUGCUCUUGUUUUUGUCUCUUUUACUGCGGCGUUCUGAAAGAGAGAAGGACAAAGCGCAGGAUUAUCAGCGAACGAAAAUAAGUCCAUUCCAGUCGGCUGUGUGCAAACCUUUCAGCUCCGAGAUCAACUGUAAACAGGUGCUCAGGAUCCAAUUC